Long non-coding RNA from Harmonia axyridis, 266 nucleotides. RefSeq lists it as uncharacterized. The record is from RefSeq and is a predicted model, not a curated record. Lineage: Eukaryota; Metazoa; Arthropoda; Insecta; Coleoptera; Coccinellidae. The transcript has 3 exons.
UGAACUCAUCCAGCAGAUAGAGGAACGGUGGGAGAUGCAGAAAUUUUGAAUUCAACAGCGCUCAAGACUUCCUCUUGCGAUCCGCGGCUCUGCAUCGCGCGCUCCGCUCAUUUUUUACGACGAAGACGGUUGUGAAGACUUUUUCGCGCGGUGUUUGUUUUUCUGUUAGGGCGGCUUAGAUUAUUUAUGUGUUAUGCAUGUUAAUGAGUGGGUGAUGGAAAAAAGUGAGCUUUUGCAUAUCAAUUUCAACUGAUGAUAAAUUUUCA